UUGUCAUUGCAAACAUGGUUCUCUGACAACAAAGCUGAAUCUGGAACGACAAGCUAGUCAUAUUUACAAAAACAAAAUAGAUAGAGUUCAUAGCAGCUUUUCCAAUCUCAGUCACUUCAUCAUAUAUCAUCGUCAUUGCCUUUCACUUGCACGAUCGAACAAUGUGAACAAUAAUAAGCGUGCUCAUGCAAUGGACUAAGCUAAAUCUGCAGGCAAACACAAAGGAGAAGACAAAGUAAUAUGGCUCUUUGAAAGCUAGACACGUAUGCAUGCAAGAGCCACUAAUCAUUGUAACCAAUAUCUUCUACCUUGACCCAAAGAAAAAGAAAAC
RNAcentral lists this long non-coding RNA (331 nucleotides) under Hordeum vulgare. Its description in RNAcentral is "long non-coding RNA (HVUL_LNC019811)". The record is from RNAcentral. Lineage: Eukaryota; Viridiplantae; Streptophyta; Magnoliopsida; Poales; Poaceae.